Molecule: long non-coding RNA, 990 nt
Organism: Daphnia carinata
Lineage: Eukaryota; Metazoa; Arthropoda; Branchiopoda; Diplostraca; Daphniidae
Exons: 6
Source: RefSeq, a predicted model, not a curated record
GAUCAAAUUAUGAAGCUGCAGGCCCAAUUAUUGGAACAACACAAAAUAUUAGAUAACAGUAAAGCUAAGGAUGCUCAAAUUUUGAGUCUACAAGCUCAGCUAGGGGAAAAGAACAAAUUGGAACGGAACAGUUUCCAAACAGUGAAGGAGGUUUUUCCAAACUCGUCCCUAACUGAACAUGAGGAUGAAUUGGCAUUAGGCGAACACAGUCAGUUAUUCAGUCUACCACCUGACAGUGUGUUAAAGUUAAAUUCUGUUAGUGCUGCACUAAAAGAAUUGUUAGUAAUAAGUCCAUGAGGCGAAGGAAGUGAAGAAUUGUGGGACCAUAUUUGGGCUGAAAAUGGGUGUGGUAUGGAAACCCAGAAAUAGCACGAGUUCAACAUAAAACAUGAAUUAGAAUUUUAGUGGGGGAUCAAGUCAAGUCUGGAAGUGUUACAGGAUGGAAGAGUGAGCCUACAGUUGAAAAACACUGAAAGUGCAUUACCAUUAAGAGUGUUGGUGAAGCUGGGUACUUAAAUGGCCCUAAAGAUGUUUCGUUUCGUUGGCAUUGCAGCGAUGAACAUCAUACAUAGACUUUUUAGGAAAGGAUUUUCAGCAUACUGGGAACACAACUAUCAACCAUGCAACAUUCUAGGGGUGCUAUUUUAUCAUUCAAGAGCCUUAUACAAUGAUUUUCAUCUGCAAUUUGUAUGGCCUUUCCCAAGCUUCUGCCAGAAGUUGAAUCUUUAAGUCAUGUAAGUCACAUGAGCAACAAUUGAGAUGCUUAAUGGUGUUGUUUUUCUUUUCUCACCAUAGGUUAAUAGUAACAUUGGAUCUGAAAAGAUUCUUGGUUGGGGCAAGACACUGAAUAAAUUGUAAUGAUUGGAUGGAUAACAUGACAUUUCUAUACUUAAUUUGGAUUCCCGAGACGGUAUUUUAUAUUUAAAAAAUUGAAGUGCAUAUCUGGGCUCCCUUCCUUUCCGUAGCCCCGUUUCCCCUUGACUCGUAAUA